GCUUCGCCCCGAGAUGAUAGUGUUGUUGAACAUGAGCUUUUUCUAGUAUAUCUUGAUGCCUCAAUCUGUUCUAGCUAACUGUUUAGGAGGAAUACAUAAGCUCCCCCUUUAAAUUAUCCGGUUAUUCCUUACAGGCACCUUAAGAUACCUUGUUCCUAUUGAACCCCUGAAUUCAUAAGAAGAUGUGUCAGUUAAACACAUCUGGCUGACCUGGCACUCAACGUGAGCCUGCAUUUGUAGCGUGAUAACACUCGCCUCCUACGUGGAAAUUAAACUAAUUAAAACACAACACAUUUUCCCUCUAUUUUUAAUUUACACAUCAUCUGAGUUAAGGAAAACCCCCAUUUUCAUUUUUAUUUUAUCAUCAGAAAGCUCUUCGGCUCUUCCCCCAUUUUCAAACUUCCGAAGAAACCCUAGAGAAAUCAGGUAAAUUCAUUAGUUAAAGACAAAAUUAUGGAAGAAAUUUCAAUGUCGUAGUGUCUUUGGCUGAUUUGAGGAAGAAAUUUCAACUAGAUCAGUCAAAAAUAACGAUUUGUUGCUCAACCCUCUAAGGUUAACUUUGAAAAAGUUGGGGAAUCCAGUGGUCCGCCAUAGUUUCCGCCAAGCAAACAAGGUAGCAGACGUUUUGUCCAGAUUCGGUGCCGAGCUAACAAUGACCAAUAACCCACUUAUCCUACUAACUCCAACGGACAAAGCAAAGGAGAAGCUAAAAGCAGAUCAAGAUUGAGUGUGUCAUCUAAUAAAAUAGUAGUAUGGUCAACGUGUAAUAAGUUAGUCCGUUUUGAUAACCUAUCUGUAAUCGCUAGUACUGUUUUUGACCUCCUGUUGAGACAUGGUUCGAAGAUGAUGAAAAACACGUAAUGGAUCGGAGCUCCUUAUCUAGUUUAAAUUCAAAAAGAAGCUACUUUAUUAUCAA
Molecule: RNA transcript, 916 nt
Organism: Solanum dulcamara
Lineage: Eukaryota; Viridiplantae; Streptophyta; Magnoliopsida; Solanales; Solanaceae
Exons: 2
Source: RefSeq, a predicted model, not a curated record